This 266-nucleotide ribosomal RNA is filed under the name uncultured Streptococcaceae bacterium. Its description in RNAcentral is "partial 16S ribosomal RNA". It matches the Rfam family "Bacterial small subunit ribosomal RNA", at positions 505 to 771 of the family's 1533-position model. Lineage: Bacteria; Bacillati; Bacillota; Bacilli; Lactobacillales; Streptococcaceae. The record is from RNAcentral.
GUGCCAGCAGCCGCGGUAAUACGUAGGUUCCGAGCGUUGUCCGGAUUUAUUGGGCGUAAAGCGAGCGCAGGCGGUUAGAUAAGUCUGAAGUUAAAGGCUGUGGCUUAACCAUAGUACGCUUUGGAAACUGUUUAACUUGAGUGCAAGAGGGGAGAGUGGAAUUCCAUGUGUAGCGGUGAAAUGCGUAGAUAUAUGGAGGAACACCGGUGGCGAAAGCGGCUCUCUGGCUUGUAACUGACGCUGAGGCUCGAAAGCGUGGGGAGCAA